Molecule: ribosomal RNA, 253 nt
Filed under: uncultured bacterium
Lineage: Bacteria
Description: partial 16S ribosomal RNA
Rfam family: Bacterial small subunit ribosomal RNA
Source: RNAcentral
GACGGAGGAUGCAAGUGUUAUCCGGAAUCACUGGGCGUAAAGCGUCUGUAGGUGGUUCGAAAAGUCCACUGUUAAAAAUUGAGGCUUAACUUCAAAGAUGCCGUGGAAACUUUCAAACUAGAGUAUGGUAGGGGUAGAGGGAAUUUCCAGUGGAGCGGUGAAAUGCGUAGAUAUUGGAAAGACCACCGAUGGCGAAGGCACUCUACUGGGCCACUACUGACACUGAGGAGCGAAAGUGUGGGGAGCGAACAGG